ACAUGCCUUGAAAAUGAAGGUUGGCUCUACAGAGGCACAAGAUUCGAAUUCUCGAUCGGCAAUUGAGGUGGUCUCGAUGAUCACUCCCUGGCCGACAGUUGUCAUUGGCCUACAGGGGUUGUUGAGCGAUGUUUGACUCUAGCUUUCCUUAUAGAGGGGACCUACCACUGCCCUGGGGUGAAAUUAGUCUAUAGCCCAUUAUGGCACUGUAGAGCAAUUCUUCUUGCCAUUGGCGAGUGGCAGACAUCUUUUCUGUAGGUGAGGAAGCCUAUCUUCUUGGUCGAGGCUGCUCGUUCUUUCGAACGGGCUGUCACCAACCAUUUAGGGGAAGCACAUCGCUACAUAGAUCUUGGUUUGGCAUGGGAGGUAUUGAAAAUUUUUAUCUCACCGUUGGAGAACUCGGGCUUGCGUUCUUGGGGAAUUUCUCCGGUGCAGCACCCGAAGGAUAGGUCUUUGACCUUUAUGGGGGGCACCUCCUUCCUCAUCGUUGAGAUGGCUUCAAUGAUAGUCUUUGAUGGGGCAUCCACGGAGUACGUGCUUCCGAGAAAGAUAGCCAUCUGGCUGUUAAUACAUCUUUUGAGGAGAUUGCGACCUUCGUCGAUGGGAGAAUCCUCACACUGGGACCCUGAGUGACCUUUUUAGUGCUAUUCGAAUCAGUCAGUGUUGCUCGUCGG
Molecule: long non-coding RNA, 674 nt
Filed under: Elaeis guineensis (African oil palm)
Lineage: Eukaryota; Viridiplantae; Streptophyta; Magnoliopsida; Arecales; Arecaceae
Description: long non-coding RNA (EGUI_LNC021793)
Source: RNAcentral